RNAcentral lists this ribosomal RNA (406 nucleotides) under uncultured bacterium. RNAcentral's name for it is "partial 16S ribosomal RNA". It matches the Rfam family "Bacterial small subunit ribosomal RNA", at positions 30 to 526 of the family's 1533-position model. The record is from RNAcentral.
AUUGAACGCUGGCGGCAUGCCUUACACAUGCAAGUCGAACGAGUGGCGAACGGGGGAGUAAUACAUCGGAACGUGCCCUGUAGUGGGGGAUAACUAGACGAAAGACUAGCUAAUACCGCAUACUAUUGGAGCGGCCGAUGUCUGAUUAGCUAGUGGGUGGGGUAAAGGCCUACCAAGGCGACGAUCAGUAGCUGGGCUGAGAGGACGAUCAGCAACACUGGGACGGAGACACGGCCCAGACUCCUACGGGAGGCAGCAGUGGGGAAGUUUGGACAAUGGGGGCAAUCCUGAUGAAGCAAUGCCACGUGUGUGAAGAAGGCCUUCGGGUUGUAAAGCACUUUUGUCCGGGAAGCGGUACCGGAAGAAAAAGGACCGGCUAACUACGUGCCAGCAGCCGCGGUAAUAC